AACGAACGUUAGCGGCGCGCCUAACACAUGCAAGUCGAGCGAGAAAGGGGCAACCCCGGUAAAGCGGCGCACGGGUGAGUAACACGUAGGUAAUUUACCCCCAGGUGGUGGAUAACCUUCCGAAAGGAAAGCUAAUACAGCAUGAGACCACGUUCCCGAAAGGGGAUGAGGUCAAAGCCGGCCUCUGUACACAAGCUGGCGCCAGGGGAUGAGCCUGCGGCCCAUCAGCUAGUUGGUAGGGUAACGGCCUACCAAGGCGAAGACGGGUAG
RNAcentral lists this ribosomal RNA (270 nucleotides) under uncultured bacterium. RNAcentral describes it as "partial 16S ribosomal RNA". It matches the Rfam family "Bacterial small subunit ribosomal RNA", at positions 29 to 286 of the family's 1533-position model. The record is from RNAcentral.